Molecule: ribosomal RNA, 433 nt
Filed under: uncultured bacterium
Lineage: Bacteria
Description: partial 16S ribosomal RNA
Rfam family: Bacterial small subunit ribosomal RNA
Source: RNAcentral
AACGAACGCUGGCGGCAUGCCUAACACAUGCAAGUCGAACGAGACCUUCGGGUCUAGUGGCGCACGGGUGCGUAACGCGUGGGAACCUGCCCUUAGGUUCGGAAUACCUCCCCGACAGGGGUGCUAAUACCGGAUAAUGUCUUCGGACCAAAGAUUUAUCGCCUUUGGAUGGGCCCGCGUUGGAUUAGCUAGUUGGUAGGGUAAAAGCCUACCAAGGCGACGAUCCAUAGCUGGUCUGAGAGGAUGAUCAGCCACACUGGGACGGAGACACGGCCCAGAAUCCUACGGGAGGCAGCAGUGGGGAAUAUUGGACAAUGGGCGAAAGCCUGAUCCAGCAAUGCCGCGUGAGUGAUGAAGGCCGUAGGGUUGUAAAGCUCUUUUACCCGGGAUGAUAAUGACAGUACCGGGAGAAUAAGCACCGACUAACUCCGUG